Molecule: non-coding RNA, 71 nt
Organism: Phrynosoma platyrhinos (Desert horned lizard)
Lineage: Eukaryota; Metazoa; Chordata; Lepidosauria; Squamata; Phrynosomatidae
Source: the annotation of a GenBank genome assembly
GCCAGCAUGGUAUAAUGGCUUGAGUGUUCAACUGCAACUCGAGAGACCAGGGUUCAAUUCCCAGCCUGGCC